RNAcentral lists this ribosomal RNA (665 nucleotides) under Piptocephalis cylindrospora. RNAcentral's name for it is "LSU rRNA". It matches the Rfam family "Eukaryotic large subunit ribosomal RNA", at positions 207 to 702 of the family's 3401-position model. Lineage: Eukaryota; Fungi; Zoopagomycota; Zoopagomycetes; Zoopagales; Piptocephalidaceae. The record is from RNAcentral.
AGAGGGUGACAAUCCCGUCUGUGAUCCAGUCAGCGGUCUAUCGUGUAAGCUACCUUCAAGAGUCGGGUUGUUUGGGAAUGCAGCCCUAAGCUGGUGGUAAAUUCCAUCUAAGGCUAAAUAUUCGUGAGAGACCGAUAGCGAACAAGUACCGUGAGGGAAAGUUGAAAAGCACUCUGGAGAGAGAGUCAAACAGCACGUGAAAUUGUUAACAGGGAAACGUUGGGCACCAGUACGCGCCUCGCGUAAAAUCAACCAUCUCUUCCCCAAGGGUAUACGUCUGAGUGGAUGAGCCUUAAAAAGCCAUUGCUCAGUCGUUGCCUGAGGGGGGUGGUGCACUUUUGCGUGGGCGGGUCAACAUCAGUUAGGACCGUCGGAAAAUCCUCAAGGGAAGGUAGGUAUCGGAUUCGUCUGGUACAACUUAUAGCCCUUGUUGAACGCGACGAUUCUGACUGUGGAGUCGCGACUCGUGCUUCCUUCGGGAGGCAGGCCCCCAGGGCUCUCAUUCUCCGCCGGGGCUAGACAGCUUGCUGACUAGUCUUGGUCUGGAGGAUGAUGUGGUCAGGGUAGGGUUCUAGCGAGUCUCGGACGUUGGCGAAAUGGUUCUCAACGACCCGUCUUGAAACACGGACCAAGGAGUCUAACAUGUGUGCGAGUAUUUGGGUGAC